Molecule: ribosomal RNA, 698 nt
Filed under: uncultured marine archaeon
Lineage: Archaea
Description: bacterial SSU rRNA
Rfam family: Archaeal small subunit ribosomal RNA
Source: RNAcentral
GGGUAACCUGCCCUAUGCUGGGGAAUAAGCUCGGGAAACUGAGAAUAAUACCCCAUAGUCCACUACGCCUGGAACGGUGAGUGGAUCAAAGCUCCGGCGGCAUAGGAUGGGCCUGCGGCGUAUCAGGUUGUAGGGGGUGUAAUGUACCCUCUAGCCAUCCACGCGUACGGGUGUUGGGAGACAUUGCCCGGAGAUGGAUUCUGAGACACGAAUCCAGACCCUACGGGGUGCAGCAGGCGCGAAAACUUGGCAAUGCGAGAAAUCGUGACCAGGGAACUCCAAGUGCGUAGGGUAAGACCUACGCUUUUCUUGACUCUUCAAAGGUCUUGGAAUAAGGGGUGGGUAAGGACGGUGCCAGCCGCCGCGGUAAUACCGGCGCCUCAAGUGGUAGUCGCUUUUAUUGGGCCUAAAACGUCCGUAGCCGGUCUGGUGCAUUCGUGGGUAAAUCAACCCGCUCAACGGGUUGAAUUCUGCGAGCACGGUCAGACUUGGGACCGGGAGAGGUGUGGGGUACGCUCAGGGUAGGGGUAAAAUCCUGUCAUCCUGAGCGGACCACCUGUUGCGAAGGCGCCACACUAGAACGGAUCCGACGGUCAGGGACGAAGCCUAGGGGCACGAACCGGAUUAGAUACCCGGGUAGUCCUAGGUGUAAACGCUGUGGACUUGAUGUUGGGGGCGCUCCGAGCGCUCUCAGUGUC